RNAcentral lists this ribosomal RNA (424 nucleotides) under Fusobacteriota bacterium. RNAcentral's name for it is "Fusobacteria bacterium partial 16S ribosomal RNA". It matches the Rfam family "Bacterial small subunit ribosomal RNA", at positions 355 to 776 of the family's 1533-position model. Lineage: Bacteria; Fusobacteriati; Fusobacteriota. The record is from RNAcentral.
UGAGGAAUAUUGGUCAAUGGGCGAGAGCCUGAACCAGCCAAGUCGCGUGAAGGAAGACAGUCCUAAGGAUUGUAAACUUCUUUUAUACGGGAAUAACGGGCGAUACGAGUAUUGCAUUGAAUGUACCGUAAGAAUAAGCAUCGGCUAACUCCGUGCCAGCAGCCGCGGUAAUACGGAGGAUGCGAGCGUUAUCCGGAUUUAUUGGGUUUAAAGGGUGCGUAGGUUGUUCGGUAAGUCAGCGGUGAAACCUGAGCGCUCAACGUUCAGCCUGCCGUUGAAACUGACGGGCUUGAGGUCAGUGGCGGCAGGCGGAAUUCGUGGUGUAGCGGUGAAAUGCAUAGAUAUCACGAGGAACUCCGAUUGCGAAGGCAGCUUGCCAUACUGCGACUGACACUGAAGCACGAAGGCGUGGGUAUCAAACAGG